UACGGAGGUGGCAAGCGUUGCUCGGAAUCACUGGGCGUAAAGGGCGCGUAGGCGGGGAGGUAAGUCGGGUGUGAAAUCCCUCGGCCCAACCGAGGAACUGCGCCCGAGACUGCUUCUCUUGAGUCCCGGAGAGGAAGGUGGAAUUCCCGGUGUAGCGGUGAAAUGUGUAGAGAUCGGGAGGAACACCGGUGGCGAAGGCGGCCUUCUGGGCCAACACUGACGCUCAUGCACGAAAGCGUGGGGAGCAAACAGG
Molecule: ribosomal RNA, 253 nt
Filed under: uncultured bacterium
Lineage: Bacteria
Description: partial 16S ribosomal RNA
Rfam family: Bacterial small subunit ribosomal RNA
Source: RNAcentral